Acanthopagrus latus (yellowfin seabream) is the source of this 450-nucleotide long non-coding RNA. RefSeq lists it as uncharacterized. The transcript is spliced from 3 exons. NCBI's taxonomy places the organism in Eukaryota, Metazoa, Chordata, Actinopteri, Spariformes, Sparidae. The record is from RefSeq and is a predicted model, not a curated record.
AGGUACUUUAGCAACGAGUUUCUGUAUUGCCUGCGCCAUGAUGACGACCGUUCCGUGCACAGCAGGAAAAGACCAAAGAAGAAGAAAAGAGAUUUCCGGGUCGUUCGUACUUCAAAAUAAAAGUGGGCGAUGCGGAAAACUCCAAAAGGCAGAGAGCGUAUCAACCUCCCCAUCUGAUGCUCAACAACCAGGUUGGAACAUGGCAGAGGCUGUUAAAAGGGCGAGUUCACCCAAUUCAUCUCACUUCAAGCGCACCCAUCUGUCCGCACAGAUAGACCAUCUUCAACUCGCUGAGGCGGAGUCUGCCGCCACAACAGGAGUUUUGUUUGUGUGUGAGAGCAUUCUACCAGAUCAACGGCAGUGUUACAUGUUGCUAAGAAGUGAAUACAUCUUUUUGUUUUUUUUUAAACUAAAUUUGUUUUAAAUUUUCUUUUUUUUUAAAAAAAACAA